CUACGGGCCGCAGCAGUUUCGAAUAAUUCACAAUGGGCGCAAGCCUGAUGAUGCGACGUUACGUGAAGGAAGAAAGCUUUAAGUUGUAAACUUCUGUCGUUAAGGAACAAAAAAUUAAGUAGUACUUUUUAUAUUGAGUUAACUUAAAAAGGAAGCAGUGGCUAAUUUCGUGCCAGCAGCCGCGGUAAUACGGGAACUGCAAGCGUUGCUCGGUUUUAUUGGGCGUAAAGAGUACGUAGGCUGUUAUAUAUGUUAAUUGUUAAAUUUUAAAGUUAAUCUUUAAAUUUGCUGUUAAAACUAUAUAACUAGAAUUUCAAAGAGGUAAGUGGAAUUUCAAGUGUAGCGGUGAAAUGCGUAGAUAUUUGAAGGAACACCAAUGGCGAAAGCAACUUACUGGGUGAUAAUUGACGCUAAAGUACGAAAGUAUAGGGAGCAAAAGGGAUUAGAUACCCCUGUAGUC
Molecule: ribosomal RNA, 460 nt
Filed under: uncultured bacterium
Lineage: Bacteria
Description: partial 16S ribosomal RNA
Rfam family: Bacterial small subunit ribosomal RNA
Source: RNAcentral